RNAcentral lists this long non-coding RNA (828 nucleotides) under Olea europaea subsp. europaea. The record is from RNAcentral. Lineage: Eukaryota; Viridiplantae; Streptophyta; Magnoliopsida; Lamiales; Oleaceae.
GUUUUGAUCAAGUGAGGUUUAAGGCUAAAAUUAUCACAAUAACAGCAGCACAAGAUUUUAAUUGAUGCAAUUUUAAAAAUGAAGCAGUAGUAUAAACCAAUACUAAAUAGAGAUCAAGGACUCCCUGUUGUUUAGUUUUGAUUAUUUGUAUGUCGCUUGAUCUGAAUUACCGACUUAUAAGCCCCAACUAUGCUUCUGUUCUUCCCUUCGUAUCCAAUGGUUUUAGCCCCUGUAGACUGUAACUUGUGCUGGUUCUAGUGUGGACGUAAAACUGUGUGUAGUGACUGUGGCUUUUAGAUUGUUGAGAUGGACGAGAAAAUAUAUGAGUGUGGUAAUUGUGGUGGAAGUGUAUGAUCUUGAGUAGGUUGUGGUGGCCUAUGGCGAUGAAGCGGUAGUGCUCUGGAUGCUUGGGUACAAUAGAUAAUGAAGUGGUGGCGUGAUGGUGAUUAGAGGCGGCAGCGGCAAGAGAGUGGUUAUGAGAGAGAAAUCGGGUGAAACUGUGGGGUAUUGAUUUUAAUGGAUUGGUUAUAAUCGGGUUUGGUUGGAUAUUUGGGACUGAUCAUGGGUUGAAUGGUGUUUGGCCGAUUGUGAUAAUAUGUGAUAAGUGGGUUGGAUUUAGUGUUUAUUGGGCUGAAAAGCAAGUGGAUUGGCUAAAUAGAUGAUGAGAGAUGGGCUGUGCGUUUAGUGGGCUUUGGGAGUAAUUUGGGCCACUAGUUUAUGGCCCAAGUGUUUUGAUAAAAAAAUGAAUGGAGUAGGUUAUAGAGAUGGAAUAUAUGGGUUGAAGGGUUAAGUAGGCUUGAAUGCUAGGGUUUGGGAUUUGUGGAACAA